UAGGGAAUUUUCAGCAAUGGACGAAAGUCUGACCGAGCAACGCCGCGUGAAUGAAGAAGUACUUCGGUAUGUAAAGUUCUUUUAUUGGGGACGAAAAACCUGUGUAGGGAAUGACACAGGAGUGACGGUACCUAAUGAAUAAGCCCUGGCAAAAUAUGUGCCAGCAGCCGCGGUAAUACAUAUAGGGCAAGCGUUAUCCGGAUUUAUUGGGCGUAAAGAGUGCGUAGGCGGUUAAACAAGUCUGUAGUUAAAGAUCAGAGCUUAACUCUGUAAUGCUACAGAAACUGUUUGACUUGAGUGGGUUAGAGGUAAGUGGAAUUCCAUGUGUAGCGGUAAAAUGCGUAAAUAUAUGGAGGAACACCAGUGGCGAAGGCGGCUUACUGGGACUUAACUGACGCUGAGGCACGAAAGCGUGGGGAGCAAACA
This 426-nucleotide ribosomal RNA is filed under the name uncultured Acholeplasma sp. RNAcentral describes it as "partial 16S ribosomal RNA". It matches the Rfam family "Bacterial small subunit ribosomal RNA", at positions 355 to 774 of the family's 1533-position model. The record is from RNAcentral. Lineage: Bacteria; Bacillati; Mycoplasmatota; Mollicutes; Acholeplasmatales; Acholeplasmataceae.